UACGUAGGGUGCAAGCGUUGUCCGGAAUUAUUGGGCGUAAAGAGCUCGUAGGCGGUUUGUCGCGUCUGCUGUGAAAACGCGAGGCUCAACCUCGCGCCUGCAGUGGGUACGGGCAGACUAGAGUGUGGUAGGGGAGAUUGGAAUUCCUGGUGUAGCGGUGGAAUGCGCAGAUAUCAGGAGGAACACCGGUGGCGAAGGCGGGUCUCUGGGCCGAUACUGACGCUGAGGAGCGAAAGCGUGGGGAGCGAACAGG
Molecule: ribosomal RNA, 253 nt
Filed under: uncultured bacterium
Lineage: Bacteria
Description: partial 16S ribosomal RNA
Rfam family: Bacterial small subunit ribosomal RNA
Source: RNAcentral